AGGGGUUACAAAAAAACUACCUCAGCCUGUCCUCAGUAUCCUGCCCCAUGGGGAGUGAACCCUUGGAUGGCAACACCUAUGCCCUACCCACCACCUUGGCAAUGUUGGGCACCAUGGGCAUCGUACCCCCGAGAACACAUGCGCUACGGCACUUCGACCAGGCGCAACACCGGUUUAGCACUGCCUCGUGACGGACCUGCCAGUGACAUAAGAUACCAGGCAGCACCAUCACACUCCCAGGAGCAACUGAGUCCUGCUCCUAUUCCAGCAGAGUCCGAUGUAACGCUUGAGGAAGCCUUACUUCCCCUUCCUCCAACCCCGUCGGAUGACUAUGCCAAAUUCCAAGACCUCUUUAAAAGAGCUGCAGGUGACUUGAAAAUUAACUUAGAGGAAGUCACUGAACAACGGCAUGAACUAACAGACAUUUUGCAGCCCUCUUCUUCCUCUAGAGUGGCAUUACCAAUCAACAGAGCCCUUUUAGAACCCGCUAAAUCCAUCUGGCAGAAUCCAGCCACUAGCCUACCUACCUGUAAACAAGCGGACAGGAAGUACUUCAUUCCUUCAAAGGGCUCUGAAUUCCUUUUUACCCAUCCAGCGCCAAACUCAUUGGUAGUGGACGCAGCAAACCAGAGGGCCAAACAACAGUACGCCCGCUCCACCCCAGCCAACAAGGACAGUAAACGCCUGGACCUCUUCGGCCGUAAAGUAUAUGCAUCCUCGACGCUACAAUUUCGCAUAGCUAAUUAUACCGCAGUCCUUGCAAAAUAUGACCACAAAAACUAUAAUAAAUUCAUGGAUUUUAUUGAUCAUAUUCCAGAACAGAAGAAACAACAAUUCACAGCUCUGGUUUCCGAGGGACAAACCAUAUCACGCACCGCUCUCCAAGCGGCCCUCGAUGUAGCUAACACUGCAGCAAGGUCGACCGCCACAGCAGUGGUCAUGCGACGAGGUUCAUGGCUCUCUUCCUCCUUCUUCCCUCGAGAGGUCCAGAGCACCAUUGAAGAUCUUCCCUUCGAUGGGGAAAAACUUUUUGCCUCCACCACAAACGACAUGCUGCAUUCGAAGAAGGACGCAAGAGCAACCCUCUGGUCCCUAGGCCUCCAGCCACCUGUGACCAGAAGACAACAAUAUAGAUAUCAACCUUAUCACCGACCACGCUACCCCACAUUUUCACAACACUCCUAUAGACCACAGGAAUAACAACAGCAACAACGACGCCAAAGACCAAGAUUCCAGCGUCAUCGUCCUAAUUCUACAGGGGCGCUGCAACCCCCUCCAACUAAUAGGCAGAUUUGAAGCAUUGGUCGAGGGUUUAGAAAACAGCGUUCCCACGUCAGCCGGCACACCUAUCUUUGGACACCGCCUACGACCAUUCUCUCAUCAAUGGCAGAAAAUUACAUCCGACAAAUGGGUCAUAGAGGUAGUUACAAUUGGAUACGCCAUCCCCUUCCUCUCCCUCCCUCCCACCCACCCACCCUCCCCAUCCCUCUUCAGGGACCCAUCUCACGAGCAACUACUCUUCCAAGAAGUGCAGCAUCUCCUU
This 1543-nucleotide long non-coding RNA is filed under the name Chrysemys picta bellii (western painted turtle). Its description in RNAcentral is "lncRNA (ENSCPBG00000001685.1)". Lineage: Eukaryota; Metazoa; Chordata; Testudines; Emydidae. The record is from RNAcentral.